This 259-nucleotide ribosomal RNA is filed under the name Escherichia coli. RNAcentral describes it as "partial 23S ribosomal RNA". It matches the Rfam family "Bacterial large subunit ribosomal RNA", at positions 1 to 260 of the family's 2925-position model. Lineage: Bacteria; Pseudomonadati; Pseudomonadota; Gammaproteobacteria; Enterobacterales; Enterobacteriaceae. The record is from RNAcentral.
GGUUAAGCGACUAAGCGUACACGGUGGAUGCCCUGGCAGUCAGAGGCGAUGAAGGACGUGCUAAUCUGCGAUAAGCGUCGGUAAGGUGAUAUGAACCGUUAUAACCGGCGAUUUCCGAAUGGGGAAACCCAGUGUGUUUCGACACACUAUCAUUAACUGAAUCCAUAGGUUAAUGAGGCGAACCGGGGGAACUGAAACAUCUAAGUACCCCGAGGAAAAGAAAUCAACCGAGAUUCCCCCAGUAGCGGCGAGCGAACGG